RNAcentral lists this ribosomal RNA (254 nucleotides) under uncultured bacterium. Its description in RNAcentral is "partial 16S ribosomal RNA". It matches the Rfam family "Bacterial small subunit ribosomal RNA", at positions 524 to 776 of the family's 1533-position model. The record is from RNAcentral.
UACGUAGGUGGCAAGCGUUGUCCGGAUUUAUUGGGUUUAAAGGGUGCGUAGGCGGCCCUGUAAGUCAGUGGUGAAAUGCUCCAGCUUAACUGGAGAGGUGCCAAUGAUACUGCAGGGCUUGAGUACAGACGAGGUAGGCGGAAUUGACGGUGUAGCGGUGAAAUGCUUAGAUAUCGUCAAGAACACCGAUAGCGAAGGCAGCUUACUAGACUGUAACUGACGCUGAUGCACGAAAGUGUGGGGGAUCAAACAGG